UACGUAGGGGGGAAGCGUUGUCCGGAUUUAUUGGGCGUAAAGAGCGUGUAGGCGGCCUUACAGGUCAGCUGUGAAAACUCGAGGCUCAACCUCGAGACGUCGGUUGAAACCGUAUGGCUAGAGUCCGGAAGAGGAGAGUGGAAUUCCUGGUGUAGCGGUGAAAUGCGCAGAUAUCAGGAAGAACACCCGUGGCGAAGGCGGCUCUCUGGGACGGUACUGACGCUGAGACGCGAAAGCGUGGGGAGCGAACAGG
Molecule: ribosomal RNA, 253 nt
Filed under: uncultured bacterium
Lineage: Bacteria
Description: partial 16S ribosomal RNA
Rfam family: Bacterial small subunit ribosomal RNA
Source: RNAcentral